RNAcentral lists this long non-coding RNA (1111 nucleotides) under Callithrix jacchus (white-tufted-ear marmoset). RNAcentral describes it as "lncRNA (ENSCJAG00000076152.1)". The record is from RNAcentral. Lineage: Eukaryota; Metazoa; Chordata; Mammalia; Primates; Cebidae.
UUUUGAAUGGCCAGUUCUGGGUUCUUUUUACCUUGUUACUAACAAUUGAUUAAAGAACUAACUAGCUGAAUAAAAGGAGACCUCGCAAAGACCAAUAUGAAAGUUUGCAUGAACCCAAGAUUAUAAUUCCUCUAAUUCCCUGUGCUACAAGCCACAUUGCUCCCCUUUUCUGCCUAAUUCCCUGUGCCAGAAGCCGCAUCGCUCCCCUUUUCUGCCAGAGUAAUUGCAGUCAUCAUUGUCUUUCUUCCAAGGGUGACUAGAAUGUGUGGGAGGGUGGUGGGGGUUGGAGAGGAAAGCUUUGAAUACAGCCUGUUUGAAGUUCUGGUUAGUUGGGUUGCAGACUUGGACUCCCUGUGUUCAUGAGCACGUCCUGUCCACGUCCUACUUUGCUUUAACCCACUUUGCCUAUUCCUGCCUGAAUUCUGGAACUCAGAACCACAGCUUGGUAGCAGAUGCUGUAUUAGACAUAGAAGGUUAGAGAGAUUAAGCCACUUGCUCAAGGCUAAACAGCUUGUUGAUUUUCCUGAACUGCCUUGAUGAGAAGUACCAUUCAUUCAUUCAUCCAUUCAAAUAAUUAAUUAACAUUUAUUGAGCACAUAUUAUGUGUCACACAUUGUGCUUCACACUGGGAAUACAAAGGUAAACCACCAAGAUAUGAUCCCAUCUUUGCAGUGUGUCCAGAGCAGUGGGGAGACAGACAUAUAUGAACUGUCAUAUCAACACAUAAUUACAAAGCAGAACCAGUAGUUUUCAAGCAAAGUACAGGAUCUGUGAGAGCAAUGAAGCCUUUUUUGUCCAAGGAGACCUGGUGGCUUCUCUGAGGGUGUAACCACCAUACUGAAACCUGAAGGAUUUGCAGGAGUUAACUAGAGAAGACUGGGGGGAAUGUAAGAGUGUCUCAGAUUGGGUGAUUCAAGUACAGAGGUCUUUGGCUGUAGCACAAAGUGCUGGUGUGGGGAUGGGAGGUAGUGGAAGGAGAUGAGAGGAAGGCAGGGGCUGAUUCUUCAGAAACUUGACAUAUUUGGUCUCUAACAUGAGAACAAUAGCUUUUGGAAUUAUCUUCACAAAAGGUCACCAUGUCCUGCUAGUUACCUAAUAUUAUAACCUUUCU